Molecule: ribosomal RNA, 255 nt
Filed under: uncultured bacterium
Lineage: Bacteria
Description: partial 16S ribosomal RNA
Rfam family: Bacterial small subunit ribosomal RNA
Source: RNAcentral
UACGAAGGGGGGCUAGCGUUGCUCGGAAUCACUGGGCGUAAAGCGCACGUAGGCGGAUUCCUAAGUCGGGGGUGAAAUCCUGGAGCUCAACUCCAGAACUGCCUUCGAUACUGGGAAUCUUGAGUCCGGAAGAGGUGAGUGGAACUGCGAGUGUAGAGGUGAAAUUCGUAGAUAUUCGCAAGAACACCAGUGGCGAAGGCGGCUCACUGGCCCGGUACUGACGCUGAGGUGCGAAAGCGUGGGGAGCAAACAGGG